Molecule: long non-coding RNA, 741 nt
Organism: Rhododendron vialii
Lineage: Eukaryota; Viridiplantae; Streptophyta; Magnoliopsida; Ericales; Ericaceae
Exons: 2
Source: RefSeq, a predicted model, not a curated record
CCCCUCGAGGAGGCUCUAACUUCUCUCUAGAAACUAUAGAGAGAGAAAGGGGUUUCCUAGGAUCAAACCCACCAUACGCACCAAAAAUCAGAUUUUUGUAUCCACCCCACCGAUCAUGUCUUGUGGUAAAAAAUGAUUCUCUCAAGAAUCAACUGAAACCUCUUCAGUCCACCCCGUGGACCGUCUUCCGUAACAGCUUUGAUUGAAGGUAUGGUGGCGUACUGUUCACAGCUAUAUCAGCAUUCACAAAACCAACCAUGGGUCUUAUUCAACCUCACAGGGAUGACCCAGAGCUGCUGGGUUCCAUCUCAAAUUCACGGAGAAGACCCAGAGCUCCUAGCUCGUGGGUCUUUCAUGGAUCUGAAGGACCUUACAGAAAACAGGUCAAAACCCUCCGGCGUUUCUCCGGUGGUUCAGCGGUGACCUUAAGGGUCAAUCCUAGAUGGAUUCUGGAUUUAUAGAGCCGUGGGGAUUGCUGGUGUGGUCCAGCAAUUGAUGGUCAGCGAAUGCAGAUUGAUCCAGAGCCUAUUGCACGUUGGUCUACUUACACGGUUACGGAGUUCUUGGUGCUGUUAAGUUCCGCUCGUCGGAAUGGUGCUGGCCGAACUGAGAUCUGUCUACAAGCAUGGCGAGACCUCCAGAUUUCGAUUGGAAUACUUUAAAUUUGUUCCAUAAUUAGCUAACUUUGGUAUAUUAUUGCCGGAGUAGUGUUACAAUUGGUUAAACUUACGAUUCCAAGAA